This 453-nucleotide ribosomal RNA is filed under the name uncultured Sphingomonas sp. Its description in RNAcentral is "partial 16S ribosomal RNA". The record is from RNAcentral. Lineage: Bacteria; Pseudomonadati; Pseudomonadota; Alphaproteobacteria; Sphingomonadales; Sphingomonadaceae.
CACGGAGUUAGCCGGAGCUUAUUCUCCCGGUACUGUCAUUAUCAUCCCGGGUAAAAGAGCUUUACAACCCUAAGGCCUUCAUCACUCACGCGGCAUUGCUGGAUCAGGCUUUCGCCCAUUGUCCAAUAUUCCCCACUGCUGCCUCCCGUAGGAGUCUGGGCCGUGUCUCAGUCCUAGUGUGGCUGAUCAUCCUCUCAGACCAGCUAUGGAUCGUCGGCUUGGUGAGCCUUUACCUCACCAACUACCUAAUCCAACGCGGGCUCAUCCUCGGGCGAUAAAUCUUUGGACUUACGUCAUCAUCCGGUAUUAGCACGCCUUUCGGCGAGUUAUCCCGAACCCAAGGGCAGAUUCCCACGCGUUACGCACCCGUGCGCCACUAGACCCGAAGGUCUCGUUCGACUUGCAUGUGUUAGGCAUGCCGCCAGCGUUCGUUCUGAGCCAGGAUCAAACUCU